UAAAGAGGACCCAGGCUGGAGAGAAGCAAGGGGAACCCAUCUUGUCACAAAGAAGAGUGUCCUUGGCUUUGACCUUGCAGCCCAUAUCAGUGAAUCCAUUUUCCUUCCACCAUAACAAGCAAGCUGCUUCUGGGCUGUGAAAUGAAUCUCUGGGAAGGACACUCUAACAACUGAUGGUCACUGUGCUUUGCUCCAGCUCUUAAGGUUUACACGCCGAACGAUAUACGCGGUGGUUUUUAAUAAGCUGCUGGUUCUGAUAUCUUGAGUAAGCGGAAAAGGACUCCCUCGCUCUUCCCCCGCUCCGUGGAUUUGCUCUCUGUGGCGCGUGACCAUUUGCUGUUCGCCACAGAUGCCAUGGUGAAAAUAAGAAAGCACAGUGUUUGGCAACACAAAAGGUGACAUUGACAUGUUUGAGGAAGACCUAAGGUGCUACAUUUUGUCUCUUUUGCUUCCCUCAUGAAUAUUCAAGAAAUGCCUCCAUAAGAAGGUCAUCACUGUCAUUUAGUUACGAAGAGAAGACGGGAGAGUUGCUUCACAGUUGGAGGUAGCACUUAGAAGAGGUUGAGGUUAGGACCCACAUCAAGGACAGGUCAGAAGAAACACAUCUGAACCAUGGAGAGGAGGAAGAGAGAAAUGCCCUUCAACUGUGUUUCCUUUUCUUCCAGAGGCCAGUUGCCUCACCUGUUGGCACAUGGCACCAAGGUGCUCAGGGGCCCUCUUUACCUUGAAGAAGGUGGACUCAAUCCCUGUUCUACAGCGUGGCCUCCCAUGUGACUGAGAAGUGAGGAGGGCUGCUCUCGACCUCAUCGUGGAGUCGGCUGACCUCACCCCAACAGCCAGGCUCCAGGACUCUCACCACACAUGAAAAAUAAAACCCUGCUUUUAAAGCCAUUGUCGUGGUUCCUGUAACAAGCAGGCAGAAGCCCUUCUUGCUCAUACAGGGGUUUAUAAUUCAUAGGAAAUCUUAGGAGUGUUUGAUGAGAUGGCAAGAAGACAUGAACAGGAACCCACCCAGAAAGUGAGGCUGGGAAGUUAUAUUAUGUCCUCAUCUCAAGCUAUGAAACCACUGAGAGCUUGAGCAAACCAGAAUCACCUCAUCAGCAGAUCCUGGUCAACGCGCUCCCCAGCAUCAUUACAAGGCACGAGCCAACCAUAAUCCGGGUUGGUUUUGGCCUGACGUGCUGUGUCCCUAGAUUGCAAGGACGGGGCAAGGCUUCACAGGUUCCUCUGCAUUUCCUAGGGUAUCGUUCUCUUAAAAGAACCAACGAAGUGAUAGACUGUUCUCGUUAACGCCAUGACAGCGGGGACUGUGCCUGAGGCGUUCACCACUGGACCCCCGACAUCCGGCCCUAAGACAGGCACAGAGGAGACACUAAACGUCAUUCAAAUGGGAUGGAAUUGAAUUACGUUAGCGUCGCCAAUAGAUGUCGGGACCAGGAUUUGACUCACAUAGUCUAUCUAGUUUCAUGGUUUCUGCUAUAAAACACUCUGAUGAACUGCCUCCUAACAUGACAUAGGAUUAAAAAGGACAAUGCAUUGCUGAGGCCUGGAAUCUCCUCCCUGAUUCCUCCCUGCCACCCCAGUGCCCACGUUUCCUUCAAAGUUUAAGACCUGCUUCCUACAUGAAGCCUUCCCAGAUAAAUCCAGUCUCCUUCAUCUCCGAAUGCCUUUCGUGCGUAUUGGGUACUAUGCAUCAUAUGUUCGAGAAACUGUCUUGUAUCAAUUUCUAAAUGCCUUAUAAUGUUAAUCCUUCUUGCUGAGCCAGCUGGUCACAGUCUCACAGAAAUAAUCCCAUCGGAGACUGCUUUUCUGUCUCUCACAGUAUCAGCACGUGAAGUACAGAGUACAUGCUCUAUAAAGAUUAAUUGACCUUCGAUUUGAAAUGGAUGAAAGGGAUGCCUACAAAGGUAUGGGCAAUUAACCUGCGCUCAUUCUCACAGCUAUUAAAUUUUUUAUUAUAGAAUAAGAAUCACGUUCACAAGAGAAUUGUCCAACCUUCACCCUCACAUUUUCUUGGUAAACAACCCCCUCCCCUAGCCCAGCUGACCUUGCCUCCUUUAACUUGCCGAGUUAUUUUGAAUAAGGAGAAGGAUCCUGGUCAGUGUGUGCAGGUCUCAGGAUUAAUACUACAUUUGGCUCUAGUGGCUGAAGGGGCAGCCUCUUAGAUCCCCAGAGUUAUGCUUCGGUGGAGAACCCUUGCCACAGAGAGACCUGCGGGGAGCCUGGGCAUGGCCAAUGGAUAUUGACAGCUUUACUGACAUUUACAAGAGCUGAUUAUUAGUUGAAGAACUUUGCGUAAACAGUCGCCAUUUCAAACCAAUUGAUUUCUGUGAACUUAUAGCACAGGUACUGCUUAUGAAUGUCAAUACUUUUCACUGGUGAUUUCUUUAUUUUGUGGGCCUGACCACUCCUCUGUCUCACUAUGAAGCCCAACCUCUUAUUUUCAGAUGAAGGAAUAAAGGCUCAGAGAGGGACCUGUGACCACACAGCUGAUUGAUUUUCAUGCCAGAUCUUAACCCAUCUCGCCCUACAAUAACACUGUCCUAUAGAAACUU
Neofelis nebulosa (Clouded leopard) is the source of this 2555-nucleotide long non-coding RNA. RefSeq lists it as uncharacterized. The record is from RefSeq and is a predicted model, not a curated record. NCBI's taxonomy places the organism in Eukaryota, Metazoa, Chordata, Mammalia, Carnivora, Felidae. The transcript is spliced from 7 exons.